GACGAACGCUGACGGUGUGCUUUAGACAUGCAAGUCGAACGAGAAAGCCCUUCGGGGUUAGUAAAGUGGCGAACGGGUGAGUAACACGUGGGCAAUCUGCCCCUCGCAGGGGGACAACCGGAGGAAACUCCGGCUAAUACCCCGUAAGUUCAAAGGGAGGCAUCUCUCUUCGAAGAAAGGUAGCUUCGCCAUCCGGCGAGGGAUGAGCCCGCGGUGCAUUAGCUAGUUGGUGGGGUAACGGCCUACCAAGGCGACGAUGCAUAGCUGGUCUGAGAGGAUGAUCAGCCACACUGGGACUGAGACACGGCCCAGACUCCUACGGGAGGCAGCAGUCGGGAAUCUUGCGCAAUGGGCGAAAGCCUGACGCAGCAACACCGUGUGUGUGAGGAAGGCCC
This 395-nucleotide ribosomal RNA is filed under the name uncultured bacterium. RNAcentral describes it as "bacterial SSU rRNA". It matches the Rfam family "Bacterial small subunit ribosomal RNA", at positions 28 to 417 of the family's 1533-position model. The record is from RNAcentral.